UUACAUGCAUAGUUAAUUAUAGAUUAUCGUUGAUCAUCUCAACGAGAUUAAUUUUCUCGCUUGAGCUGGUACAGCGAAAGUGAGAAAAGCAAUCGAGUUGAGAUGACCAAUGAUAAUCUGUUUAUCGCUAUUUUACCUAUGACGACGUUGUCAAUUUCAUGUCAAUUUCGUUAGCAACGCCACGUGGCCUCCUUAGUUUCUAGCGAUAAUUUUUCCAUCUCAAGCGAGAAGCAUGAUAUGAAAAUUAUCACAAAAAAAGAUCAAAAGAAAAAUGCACAAAAUAGCGAUAAUAUAUCUUACAAGUUUCAU
This 309-nucleotide long non-coding RNA is filed under the name Mytilus galloprovincialis (Mediterranean mussel). The record is from RNAcentral. Lineage: Eukaryota; Metazoa; Mollusca; Bivalvia; Mytilida; Mytilidae.